Long non-coding RNA from Capra hircus (goat), 1607 nucleotides. RefSeq lists it as uncharacterized. The transcript is spliced from 3 exons. The record is from RefSeq and is a predicted model, not a curated record. Lineage: Eukaryota; Metazoa; Chordata; Mammalia; Artiodactyla; Bovidae.
UGGCCAGAGAGUGGCUGUGCAAACAGUUGACAGUUCAAUAAAAACGACAUUUUAUGGGGACAGGGAUCCUGCCCCUGUUUCUUCCCUGACAGAAGCUGCAGUUUAUAAAAGCAAGCCCUUAUGAAGAACGAUGUGUCAUUGUGAGUGUGGUGUUAGGAAACAGGUGCCUAAGUGAAGAGCAAGACAGGAAACAAAAGGCUGAGUGUGGAAAUGGAAAGGGGCAAAAUCCUGGAAAUGGAAGGGGAAAAAAAUCCCUCUAGGAGGUGGAUUUCACUCAGGAGACCUCUAAGUGAAAUCUAAGGGUGUCCUCUGCAAAGAUGGAACCAUUAACAUUUGGGUGGGAGAGGAGAUUAAAUUAUGUUGUUACGAUGCUGUCUUCUUCUGAUGCUCAGCUUCUCUGUCUCACUUUUGUUGUUUUUUUAUAAUUAAAUUUUGGCUGUGCUGGGUCUUUGUUGCUGAGCAUAGACUUUGUCUCCUCUUCAUUGCGGUGCCGGGGCUUCUGAUUCCGGGGCCUCCUCUAAUUGCAGAGCAUGCUCCCUAGAGCACAGGCUCAGUAGUUCUGGAAAACGGGCUUCAUUGCUGCGGGGCUUGUGGAAUCUUCCCAGACCAGAGAUCAAAUCCACGACCCCUGUAUCGGCAGGCAGAUUCUUUACCACUGGAGCUCCAGGGAGCCACUCCUUUUCCUGGUCUUUCUAGAUCCUCAGGGGACUCAGAGGCCUGUGUGAGAAAGGAAAAACAAAAUAAAAACCCAGUGAAAAUAAAAAACCAGGGAAAUGGCUACCUACUCCAGUAUUCUUGCCUGGAGAGUCCCACGGACAGAAGAGCCUGAUGGGCUACAGUCUGUGGGGUCGCAAAAGAGUCAAACAAAACUGAGCGACUAAACAACACCAGCAACAACCUUAUGGGCCUCUUUGCCCCCCUUCCUUCUUCCUCCAGGCACAUUGCUUCAGUACGCACACAACUCCAGAGGGCGCCAUUCACACAGCCACAGUGUGAAUCACAGCACACAACCCAUGCAAAGGUAGUGAUGGCUCCAUUGUACCUUUCCUUCCUUCCUCCCUCUCUCCCUUCCUUCAAUAAAUAUUUGUUGAGCAUCUAGGCUCCAUCAUGUUAGUGGUGGAGACACAGUAGCAGAUGACCAGAACAUGCCUCUGUCCAUGGAGCAAAUUUUAAAACUGCAAAACAGGGGCUUCCCUGGUGGCUCAGUGGUAAAUCCGCCCUGUCAAUGCAGGAGAUGUGGGUUCGAUCCCUGAUCCGGGAAGAUUCCACCUGCCUCAAAGCAACUAAGCCUGUGUGCCGCAACUACUGAGCUCUAGAGACUGGGAACUGCAAUUAUUGAGCCCACGGGCCCUAACUGCUGAACCUGUGCACCCUAGCACCCAUUCUCCGCAGCAAGAGAAGCCACCGCAAUGAGAAGCCCGUGCACCGCAAUGAAGAGUAGCCCCUGCUCUCCGCAACUAGAGAAAAGCCUGCGCACCCGUGAACAAAAAAUAUAAAUAAGCAAAAUUAAUUUUAAAAAUUCUUAAAAAAAUAAACUUGCACACGCAAAGAAAAAUAAAAUGUAAAAGGAUGCUGAAAUAAACAUGUGAUUGCAACUUUCAUAUUCA